This is a long non-coding RNA of Oncorhynchus keta (chum salmon), 1262 nucleotides long. RefSeq lists it as uncharacterized. Lineage: Eukaryota; Metazoa; Chordata; Actinopteri; Salmoniformes; Salmonidae. The record is from RefSeq and is a predicted model, not a curated record. The transcript is spliced from 3 exons.
UUUUGGUGGCAAGCAUGUACAGGACAAAUAAUUGGCGAAAGAAAUGAGUACGUAAACUGUCAAUGUCUUAUGACACAUAAUUUGGCCCUGAUUCAGCAGCAGUGCCUGAUAUUGCCAUGUAACGUUAUAAGCCAUUCAUUGCUUGCAUGUUUGUUAGCAAGCUAACUAGCUACUUGCAUACCGGUAACUUAAAACGAGAAGGCUAACCAAAGAUAGUGGACAAAUUAAGAGGUCUCCCUCAAACCGUUAACCAAAAGGUCACAGUUCCAGUCUACUUAAUGGGUGUCGUUGGAUAGGGAAAAGUUUACGCCCGUUGUUGGUUCUCGGAACACCUGACCAAGCCCGCUGCUUUUGGGGCGGGGCAGAGCUCAGCCUGAGUGAGUUCCGCUCCCUCUGACCCUGGUCCCUGUCUCCAGUUCCACGUCUCGUCAUCACUCUACUCUGUCCUGGAUUCCCCACUCUACUACUCCCUUGGAUUCCCUUCCGGACCUGCUUACCCUGUCCUAACCCCUCUCGCUCCAGCCUCAGCCUCCGCACCUGGUUUUCUGCAACCCACCCAAGCUUCCCCUGGUCUGCACUCCAUCUUCCCCCUGUGUUUCAAUAAAUACCUUGGUUAAUACAUCCCAGUCCCCUCGUCUGAGUCUGCUCUUGGGUUCCCAUGUUCCACUCCGUGUAACGAUCUUCACAUACAGUACAUUUAAAUACUAUUCAAAACCAUCAUGGUGUCCUUGAUCCGCCCUCUCAAAACUUUUUAUUACAAUCUUUUUCUCUUCCAGCAAAUGUAUAGCCUAGUUAAGCAGACUGACCACUGCCGCUCACGUAUAGUUUAAUUUCACUUGUCAAGUGAAAUAAAAUGUAAGCCAUCACGUGAUCAGGCUGGUUCUACCAGGCAAGCGAAAUUAUCUGUGCUAAAAGUAUCUGUUUUCCCUCCCAGUGUACACAUGCAAAGCCUAUGAAUGACACACAAUACACAGGUUACUAUGGUUGUAAAGGCACUUGAUAGGACUCCACAUUCCUAGCUUUAGAUAUAACUAAUCCACAUAUUAUGGUUCUUGAUUCUGUGUUCCGUUUAAAAUAGGUGUAAGUCAUCGGCCUUUAUGCUUUCACUGAUCAAUCAUGUUGGCCCACACAGCAACAACAACUUAAAUACGCUUAAGUUAUGUCAUAGCCCUCCCAGGUAAAUAUAAAUGUAACUUGUAACAUUUCUCACGUAAAAAAAUAUCCUUAGGUUAUAUCUAAAAAUACAUUUGUACAAACUCUUU